CAGUCGCCGCGGUAAUACAGAGGGUGCAAGCGUUAAUCGGAAUUACUGGGCGUAAAGCGCGCGUAGGUGGUUUGUUAAGUUGGAUGUGAAAGCCCCGGGCUCAACCUGGGAACUGCAUCCAAAACUGGCAAGCUAGAGUACGGUAGAGGGUGGUGGAAUUUCCUGUGUAGCGGUGAAAUGCGUAGAUAUAGGAAGGAACACCAGUGGCGAAGGCGACCACCUGGGCUCAUACUGACACUGAGGUGCGAAAGCGUGGGGAGCAAACAGGAUUAGAUACCCGAGUAGUCCCUGUCUCUUAUAC
This 301-nucleotide ribosomal RNA is filed under the name uncultured bacterium. RNAcentral describes it as "partial 16S ribosomal RNA". It matches the Rfam family "Bacterial small subunit ribosomal RNA", at positions 509 to 807 of the family's 1533-position model. The record is from RNAcentral.